RNAcentral lists this long non-coding RNA (346 nucleotides) under Lathyrus oleraceus (garden pea). Its description in RNAcentral is "Pisum sativum (pea) long non-coding RNA (PSAT_LNC042185)". The record is from RNAcentral. Lineage: Eukaryota; Viridiplantae; Streptophyta; Magnoliopsida; Fabales; Fabaceae.
UGUUUUCUUUUAACAAUUUCCAUUUUGAUUUUCAUUUUUGAUUCUUGUUUUACUUAACAUGAAAUAAAUAUGUGAACAUGAAAAAUGACAAAAAAACCAUUUUGAUUUUCAUUUUUGAUUCUUGUUUUACUUAACAUGAAAUAAAUAUGUGAACAUGAAAAAUGACAAAAAAUAUGAGUGUUUGACUUUGUUGACUUUUUAGGCCAUUUUGUGAAUUUAUCCCCAUUUUAUGAGUUCUACCGAUUAAAUGUCAUCUUGUGCGUUUCAUGUGGUUAUUUUGAUCUUUCAGACCUGGGAUUGUUGUGUGAAACCAAUUUAGGGUAGGAACAUGUCCCCUUAGACACUU